AGUGCCGAGUUAAAGGAAGUAUACUGGUCUUCUUUUACUUCUAAAUCCGCCUUCUAACUAGGUUUCAUAAUAGUUUUUCGUAUGGUCUAAAGUAGAUAGUGUAGCCCAUCUCUUUCCACUUCAUAUGCUGCACCUUGACCUGACGUGUUGACGCAAGGGCAUUAAGCUCACUAGUUAGCGCUCACGGGGUAAGCUGACGACGGAGGUAUACAGGCUGAUAGACUAAAAGUGGUGAGGUAAAACGGGGGUUAUCGAUUAUAGGACAGGCUCCUCUAGGUGGAUUUGGGGUACCGUCAAGUCCCUUGGGUUUUAAGCU
RNAcentral lists this ribosomal RNA (316 nucleotides) under Dendropsophus leucophyllatus (Bereis' treefrog). RNAcentral describes it as "partial 12S small subunit ribosomal RNA". The record is from RNAcentral. Lineage: Eukaryota; Metazoa; Chordata; Amphibia; Anura; Hylidae.